UUAUAUUAGUUAUGAAAUAUAUUUCAAGAAAUUUUAUAUCUAGUUUUUUAAGAGUAAAAGUUUAAUAGAAUAAUUUUUAUAAAAAUUAAUAUGGUUUAGCUUAUUAAUUUUAUAUACUGAUAGAAUUUUUUAACCUUAGUAAAUUUGAUAGUGUUUAUUUUAUAAAUUUAUAAUGAAGGGUAAUAUGAAUAAAAAUUUUUAUUUGUUAUUUUUUUAUUAAAAAAUUUAUUAAAAUUUUAGAGUUUUAUUUAUAAUGAAAAAAUUAGUAAAAAUUUAUUUAUAUUAAAAAAUAAUUAAUAAUUUAUAAUUGUUAUAAUUAUUAUAAAAAAUGAAUUCGGCAAAAAGUAUUAUUUGACUGUUUAGCAAAAACAUUGUUUCAUGAAAAGUGUAUGAAAUAAUGUCUGUCCACUGAUAUAUUUGAAGGACUGCAGUAUAUUGACUGUAUAAAAGUAGCAUAAUCAUUAGCUUUUUAAUUUGGGGUUGGUAUGAAGGCGAAACGGAUAAGUUCUUUAUUUUUUAUAAGUGUUUUAAGUUUAUUUUUAAGUGAAAAAUCUUAAUUAUAUGAGAGGGACAAGAAGACCCUAAUAAGUUUUAUUUUUCUUUUAUUUAUGUUAUAGGAAAAUUUAAUUAGAUAAUAUUAAAUUAGAAAUUUGGUUGGGGCGAUUAGUUAAAAAACAUAAUUUAUUUAUAAUUUUU
Molecule: ribosomal RNA, 696 nt
Filed under: Pseudopolydesmus canadensis
Lineage: Eukaryota; Metazoa; Arthropoda; Diplopoda; Polydesmida; Polydesmidae
Description: partial large subunit ribosomal RNA
Source: RNAcentral